Long non-coding RNA from Tachysurus fulvidraco (yellow catfish), 884 nucleotides. RefSeq lists it as uncharacterized. NCBI's taxonomy places the organism in Eukaryota, Metazoa, Chordata, Actinopteri, Siluriformes, Bagridae. The record is from RefSeq and is a predicted model, not a curated record. The transcript has 3 exons.
ACACAUGUUAAUUUAAACAUUUAAAUUGUAUUGGUUUAUUAAAUAUGAUACACAAAGCAAUUUGCAGGUGGAAGCAAAUCACAAAUUUGAGAGGAACAUAAUGUGAAAGGACCCCAAGGCAACAUCUAGUAUAGCCUUGGGGUUUCUAAAAAUGCCAACACCGCCACCAUCUUGGUACAGGUGCCGGACUUCUGUGCUGCGUUUGGAUGUUCAGCUGAACGAGAUAUAAAAGCCAGACAGCAAGGGAUUACAUUUCACAAAAAUAUGACAGGAGAUUGUGGGACAUCAAGCUACUGUGCUACUGUGAAGGCUACACCACACCCUGCUGUGUGAUGACUGGCAGUGGAAUGACGGAGGAAUCUCUGCCUACAGAAACUGGGAGCGCAAUCAACCUCAACCACAAGAAAACUGUGCAGCAGUGAGAGGAGAGAGAUGGCACUCAGUCCCUUGCAGUAAUCAUCAAUUUGCUUUGUGCUACUACACUUCCAUCCAUGUGAGUGAAAAGGCUCUGAGCUGGGAGAAAGCGCAGGAUUACUGUGAUAAAGAGAACAGAACUGGAUUGUUGCAGAUUGAGUCAGAACAUGACCAGACUGAUGUGGAGAAUGAGCUCAGAAGGAGGCGUGUCUCUGAGCCUGUGUGGGUGGGGCUUAGACAGAGCCAGCUCUUCGGGUUCUGGAUUUGGCCUGAUGGGAAAGCUGUGUUUCCGUACUCCAACUGGGAUGAAGGGAAACAGCCUGAGCAUCAACUCUCUCAGCACUGCGGUGCCGUCGUUCCACAGAGCUACAGACGGAAAGACAUGAACUGUGAGGCACAGUAUAAAACUCUGUGUCACAUCAGAUGUUCUCCAUGAACCACUAUACAUAUAAAACUGUUUUUCUAAUGCA